Molecule: ribosomal RNA, 292 nt
Filed under: uncultured bacterium
Lineage: Bacteria
Description: partial 16S ribosomal RNA
Rfam family: Bacterial small subunit ribosomal RNA
Source: RNAcentral
GGAUUAGAUACCCUGGUAGUCCACGCCGUAAACGAUGUCUACUAGCAGCUUGUCUCUUAAGAGAUGUUUUGCGCAGCUAACGCAUUAAGUAGACCGCCUGGGGAGUACGGCCGCAAGGUUAAAACUCAAAUGAAUUGACGGGGGCCCGCACAAGCGGUGGAGCAUGUGGUUUAAUUCGAUGCAACGCGAAGAACCUUACCAUCCCUUGACAUCCAGAGAAUUUACUAGAGAUAGUUUAGUGCCUUCGGGAACUCUGAGACAGGUGCUGCAUGGCUGUCGUCAGCUCGUGCCG